Small nucleolar RNA from Elaeis guineensis (African oil palm), 106 nucleotides. NCBI's taxonomy places the organism in Eukaryota, Viridiplantae, Streptophyta, Magnoliopsida, Arecales, Arecaceae. The record is from RefSeq and is a predicted model, not a curated record.
ACAGCAUGGUGGGGGCAUUUACGAAUGAGGUUCCUUAACCUUUCCCAUAUCUCAUGAAAAAGUUCACCAUCCAGUCGAAAAAAACUAGUGAUGACUUUUUUAAUUU